GGGGGUGUCGUCUAAUGGCAAGACUCUGGUCUCCAAAACCAGUUAUCCAGGUUCGAGUCCUGGCAUCCCCG
RNAcentral lists this transfer RNA (71 nucleotides) under bacterium. RNAcentral describes it as "tRNA-Trp". It matches the Rfam family "tRNA". From Rfam's summary of the family: Transfer RNA (tRNA) molecules are approximately 80 nucleotides in length. Their secondary structure includes four short double-helical elements and three loops (D, anti-codon, and T loops). The record is from RNAcentral.